Molecule: transfer RNA, 84 nt
Filed under: Bacteroidales bacterium
Lineage: Bacteria; Pseudomonadati; Bacteroidota; Bacteroidia; Bacteroidales
Description: tRNA-Leu
Rfam family: tRNA
About the family: Transfer RNA (tRNA) molecules are approximately 80 nucleotides in length. Their secondary structure includes four short double-helical elements and three loops (D, anti-codon, and T loops).
Source: RNAcentral
GCCCAGAUGGCGGAAUUGGUAGACGCGCUAGGUUCAGGUCCUAGUGGCCGAAAGGCUGUGAAAGUUCGAAUCUUUUUCUGGGCA